UUUUAGAUCCCCUUCAAAAGCCAAACAUCUUUGACCCAAAAGACGACUCUUGGCCCCCCUUUAUCCUCUCGGAUCCGACGGCCACGAAGGAGGAGAGCCCUCCGACGGCAAACCUGAAAGGCGUUUCAGGUGAGCCCCGCUCCCUUUUGUUUCUUAUUUAUUAUAUGUAAAAAAAAAGAAAAACAAACAGAAAGAGCAAACAAAGGAAAAAAAAUCGAAUCUAAGAAAAAACCUCCGUUUUGUAUUCUGUUUUUUCAAAUUUUUUUUCCUUCGUAUUUUCCCUUCUAUUUUCGUAUCUCUUUACACCGAAUCCCCCCCC
RNAcentral lists this long non-coding RNA (319 nucleotides) under Gossypium raimondii (Peruvian cotton). RNAcentral describes it as "long non-coding RNA (GRAI_LNC001674)". Lineage: Eukaryota; Viridiplantae; Streptophyta; Magnoliopsida; Malvales; Malvaceae. The record is from RNAcentral.